GGCUUUGUGGUGCAGUGGUAGCAUUCACGCUUCGGAUGUGUGAGGUCCCGGGUUCAAGCCCCGGCAAAGCCC
Non-coding RNA from Umbelopsis sp. AD052, 72 nucleotides. NCBI's taxonomy places the organism in Eukaryota, Fungi, Mucoromycota, Umbelopsidomycetes, Umbelopsidales, Umbelopsidaceae. The record is from the annotation of a GenBank genome assembly.